GACGAACGCUGGCGGCGUGCCUAACACAUGCAAGUCGAACGGGGUCCAUGGGAGCUUGCUCCCGGAAGACCUAGUGGCGAACGGGUGAGUAACACGUGAGAAACUCGCCCUGGAGUGGGGAAUAACUCGGGGAAACUCGAGCUAAUACCGCAUACCCUCGGAUGGUCGCAUGGCCGACCGAGGAAAGAUUCAUCGCUUCAGGAGGGUCUCGCGGCCUAUCAGCUAGUUGGUGGGGUAACGGCCUACCAAGGCAACGACGGGUAGCUGGUUUGAGAGAACGAUCAGCCACACUGGGACUGAGACACGGCCCAGACUCCUACGGGAGGCAGCAGUGGGGAAUCUUGCGCAAUGGGCGAAAGCCUGACGCAGCAACGCCGCGUGCGGGAUGACGGCCUUCGUGGUUGUAAACCGCUUUCAGCAGGGACGAAAAUGACGGUACCUGCAGAAGAAGCCCCGGCUAACUACGUG
This 468-nucleotide ribosomal RNA is filed under the name uncultured bacterium. RNAcentral's name for it is "bacterial SSU rRNA". It matches the Rfam family "Bacterial small subunit ribosomal RNA", at positions 28 to 507 of the family's 1533-position model. The record is from RNAcentral.